RNAcentral lists this ribosomal RNA (305 nucleotides) under uncultured bacterium. RNAcentral describes it as "bacterial SSU rRNA". It matches the Rfam family "Bacterial small subunit ribosomal RNA", at positions 337 to 639 of the family's 1533-position model. The record is from RNAcentral.
UCCUACGGGGGGCAGCAGCGAGGAAUAUUGGUCAAUGGACGCAAGUCUGAACCAGCCAUGCCGCGUGCAGGAAGACGGCUCUAUGAGUUGUAAACUGCUUUUGUACGAGGGUAAACGCAGAUACGUGUAUCUGUCUGAAAGUAUCGUACGAAUAAGGAUCGGCUAACUCCGUGCCAGCAGCCGCGGUAAUACGGAGGAUUCAAGCGUUAUCCGGAUUUAUUGGGUUUAAAGGGUGCGUAGGCGGUUUGAUAAGUUAGAGGUGAAAUGUCGGGGCUCAACCCCGAAACUGCCUCUAAUACUGUUGG